GGGGGGGGGGGGGGGGGGGGCGGGGGGGGGCGGGGCGGGGGCGUCACGUCGGGGAGGAGUGGCGGAGGGGGGAGUAAUACAUAAGUAACCUGGCAUCUACAGGGGGAUAACUGAGGGAAACGUCAGCUAAGACCGCAUAGGUGUAGAGAUCGCAUGAACUCUAUAUGAAAAGUGCUACGGGACUGGUAGAUGAUGGACUUAUGGCGCAUUAGCUUGUUGGUAGGGUAACGGCCUACCAAGGCGACGAUGCGUAGCCGACCUGAGAGGGUGACCGGCCACACUGGGACUGAGACACGGCCCAGACUCCUACGGGAGGCAGCAGUAGGGAAUUUUCGGCAAUGGGGGAAACCCUGACCGAGCAACGCCGCGUGAAGGAAGAAGUAAUUCGUUAUGUAAACUUCUGUCAUAGAGGAAGAACGGUGGAUAUAGGGAAUGAUAUCCAAGUGACGGUACUCUAUAAGAAAGCCACGGCUAACUACGUG
Molecule: ribosomal RNA, 482 nt
Filed under: uncultured bacterium
Lineage: Bacteria
Description: partial 16S ribosomal RNA
Rfam family: Bacterial small subunit ribosomal RNA
Source: RNAcentral